GACGAACGCUGGCGGCGUGCUUAACACAUGCAAGUCGAACGGAAAGGCCCUGCUUUUGUGGGGUGCUCGAGUGGCGAACGGGUGAGUAACACGUGAGUAACCUGCCCUUGACUUUGGGAUAACUUCAGGAAACUGGGGCUAAUACCGGAUAGGAGCUCCUGCUGCAUGGUGGGGGUUGGAAAGUUUCGGCGGUUGGGGAUGGACUCGCGGCUUAUCAGCUUGUUGGUGGGGUAGUGGCUUACCAAGGCUUUGACGGGUAGCCGGCCUGAGAGGGUGACCGGCCACAUUGGGACGGAGAUACGGCCCAGACUGCUACGGGAGGCAGCAGUGGGGAAUAUUGCACAAUGGGCGGAAGCCUGAUGCAGAAACGCCGCGUGCGGGAUGACGGCCUUCGGGUUGUAAACCGCUUUCGCCUGUGACGAAGCGUGCGUGACGGUAAUGGGUAAAGAAGCACCGGCUAACUACGUG
Molecule: ribosomal RNA, 468 nt
Filed under: uncultured bacterium
Lineage: Bacteria
Description: partial 16S ribosomal RNA
Rfam family: Bacterial small subunit ribosomal RNA
Source: RNAcentral